RNAcentral lists this transfer RNA (75 nucleotides) under Ectopseudomonas mendocina. RNAcentral's name for it is "tRNA-Arg". It matches the Rfam family "tRNA". From Rfam's summary of the family: Transfer RNA (tRNA) molecules are approximately 80 nucleotides in length. Their secondary structure includes four short double-helical elements and three loops (D, anti-codon, and T loops). Further hydrogen bonds mediate the characteristic L-shaped molecular structure. tRNAs have two regions of fundamental functional importance: the anti-codon, which is responsible for specific mRNA codon recognition, and the 3' end, to which the tRNAs corresponding amino acid is attached (by aminoacyl-tRNA synthetases). tRNAs cope with the degeneracy of the genetic code in two manners: having more than one tRNA (with a specific anti-codon) for a particular amino acid; and 'wobble' base-pairing, i.e. permitting non-standard base-pairing at the 3rd anti-codon position. RNAcentral also lists the same sequence under 4 other names. The record is from RNAcentral. Lineage: Bacteria; Pseudomonadati; Pseudomonadota; Gammaproteobacteria; Pseudomonadales; Pseudomonadaceae.
GCUUCCGUAGUUCAACGGAUAGAACGGGCCCCUCCUAAGGGUCAGAUGCAGGUUCGAUUCCUGCCGGGAGCGCCA